GGCGGUUCUCAGUUGAUGAACCUCAGAAUCGGGCUCCCUCCUUUCUGGUUCCAGGUGUGUCGCCUGAGAACCGCA
This is a non-coding RNA of Myotis davidii, 75 nucleotides long. The record is from Rfam. NCBI's taxonomy places the organism in Eukaryota, Metazoa, Chordata, Mammalia, Chiroptera, Vespertilionidae.